RNAcentral lists this long non-coding RNA (460 nucleotides) under Oryctolagus cuniculus (rabbit). RNAcentral's name for it is "lncRNA (ENSOCUG00000031814.1)". The record is from RNAcentral. Lineage: Eukaryota; Metazoa; Chordata; Mammalia; Lagomorpha; Leporidae.
CAAAAUCUAUUUUGAUCCCCAUCUCAGAAGGUCUUGAAUGGUUGUUGCAGAGGUCAUUUGAAGCAGAGACAGAGCAUCUCAAGAGAAAAUGGAAUACAGUUCCAAUGGACUCCAAUCUCCUUCAUUUUUUUCCUGUUCGUGCGGUGAAGUCCAUGGUGAUGUCAUUUCCCUUCAAACUUUCCCUCCUUUCUACCUAUCAAAACAGAAGAUUUCUAUUUUAUUGAAACAGAGGCUAUGUCGAAGACAAUCUUCAAAUCUUUAAUCUAUCUGUGGAAGGAAGAACAAUAACGUCCACAUCCUAAUCCUUAGAAACUGUAAGUAUGUGACAUUUUAUACUGGGAACAUUAAAAUUGCACAUGGAAAGACAGUUGCAAAUUAAUGGGCAUUUAGUUUAAGACACUGGUUAAAAUACUUAUGUCUCCAUUGGAGUACUUGCAUCCAAUGUCUGGCUGUGGCUCCU